UACGUAGGGAGCGAGCGUUGUCCGGAUUCAUUGGGCGUAAAGAGCUCGUAGGCGGCUUGAUUAGUCGGAUGUGAAACCUCCAGGCUCAACCUGGAGUCGCCAUCCGAUACUGUCAUGGCUAGAGUCCGGUAGGGGCCCACGGAAUUCCUGGUGUAGCGGCGAAAUGCGCAGAUAUCAGGAGGAACACCGGUGGCGAAGGCGGUGGGCUGGGCCGGCACUGACGCUGAGGAGCGAAAGCGUGGGGAGCGAACAGG
Molecule: ribosomal RNA, 254 nt
Filed under: uncultured bacterium
Lineage: Bacteria
Description: partial 16S ribosomal RNA
Rfam family: Bacterial small subunit ribosomal RNA
Source: RNAcentral